Molecule: long non-coding RNA, 1653 nt
Filed under: Pan troglodytes (chimpanzee)
Lineage: Eukaryota; Metazoa; Chordata; Mammalia; Primates; Hominidae
Description: long non-coding RNA NONPTRT007329
Source: RNAcentral
CUCCGAAGACCCACGACCUCUUCUCCAUCCGUGGAUUGAUUUGUUCUGCUUAACAGCUGGGUCGCCAAGCUGGAGGUGGAAUCAGAGGUUUCUGGCUGACUCGGUGGGUGCUUUGAACCAGGAAAGGACAAGAAAGAGGAUGGGAAGGACUGAUCCACAUUCCUACCAGGAAGUUUAACGGAACCCCCGCGUGCCACCUGGACCCCCUGGAAGGACCUGGCUAAGGCUGGACCACCUCUUGAGAGGCAGGAGCUCCGGAUUUGAUCAAGAAUUCUUUGCUGAGCAUGGUGCCUCAUGCCUAUAAUCCCAACACUUUGGGAGGCCAAUGUGGGAGGAUCUCUUGAGCCCAGGAGUUCAAGACUAGCCUGGGCAACACAGAGAGACCCCAUCUCUAAAAAAAUAAUAAUAAUAAAAUAAAAAAUUAGCAGGGCAUGGUGGCAUGUGCCUGUAGUCCCAGCUACCCAGGAGGCUGAGGCAAGAGGAUGGCUGGAGCCUGGGAUGUUGAGGCUGCAAUGAACUGUGAUUACCCCACUGCACUCCAGCCUGGGCAAAAGAGCGAGAGACCCUGUCUCAAAUAAUAAUAAUACUAAUCAUCAUCAUCAUCAUCAUCAUCAUCAUCUUAUUUUGGAGAAUAAAGAGACCUCUGGAUUUGAGGUGCCAUUUGGGUAGAAAGAAAAGACCUUUACACCGAGAAAUAGUCUGUGUUGACCUGAAGGAGCAGAGGAAUGCAUCGCUGGAGGUGACCUACAGUUGAAGAAGACUCAUUAUGACAGACCUUGUCCUUCUUCCUUGUGGAAAGUGUUUCCUCUGCUGCUACUGCUCAUGAGACUCUUCCCCCUCCCUGUCCCAGGGAACCAAAGGGCUUUCUACCACACCCUUUCUUGCCCCCCGCCUCCCAUGUCUGCUGUGCCUUUGUACUCAGCAAUUCUUGUUUGCUCCAUUAUCUUCCAGCCGGAUACAGAGUGAAUAGUUAACCACACUUAGGUCAAAUAGGAUCUAAAUUUUUGUUCCUGCUCCGUGUAAAGAGGCCAGUGUUUGUGUGUUGCAAGCAGCCUUGGAAUAGUAACUCUUCUCAUUUGUUUGGGAUCUGGCCACCAAGUUCCAGAAUGAUACACGGAUCAGUGCAGAAGUUCAUCAGGCUCUCGGACCUUAGGGCUGUUGGAGAAGGCUUCAGCAGCAGAACUGAUGGUGAAGGCUCGUGUUCUCCAUCCUCAACUUUCUUUGCUUGGAUCAUACACAAGAAUACAUUUGGAAGGGCAAAAAAUGAACACUGUUGUUCAUUGCAGCCGUGUUUUGUGACACAGAUGCACAGUCUGCUGUGAAGACCUUCUCUCAAGUGGCAGUUGGGAGUCCAUGCCAGAUCAUGGUGCUUCAUGAGAGGCUAACAGCUAUCAGGGGUUGUGGCACUUAGUGAGGACUCUCCUCCCCCAGUGUGUGCUGAUGACACACACACACCUGACAAUAGCUUGAGUCUUCUCUGUUCCUUUUACUCUGUAGCCACCAUACACAUGAUUUAAAACCCUUUCUAAAUAUCUAUCAUGGUUCAUCCUUGUCCAAAUGCAGAGUCAGAGCUAUUUGUACUUCAUUAUUAUUUCCAAGGCAAAUAGAUGGCUUUCUUUUUGCAAAAAUAAUUAAAGUUUUUUGUAUGUUGCA